Molecule: small RNA, 117 nt
Filed under: Aureimonas pseudogalii
Lineage: Bacteria; Pseudomonadati; Pseudomonadota; Alphaproteobacteria; Hyphomicrobiales; Aurantimonadaceae
Description: Alphaproteobacterial ar14
Rfam family: Alphaproteobacterial ar14
About the family: Smr14C2 was renamed NfeR1 (Nodule Formation Efficiency RNA) highly expressed in salt stress and during the symbiotic interaction on legume roots.
Source: Rfam by way of RNAcentral
GAAUUUCGCGAGGGCCCAUCCUCCUCCCAACGGACCCGAGCGGAUCAGCGCCGGCGGUUCCUCCCACCGCAGGCGACCACACGACACCCGCCGGUCCUCCCCCGGCGGGUGUUGUCG